Micropterus salmoides (largemouth bass) is the source of this 4407-nucleotide long non-coding RNA. RefSeq lists it as uncharacterized. The record is from RefSeq and is a predicted model, not a curated record. The transcript is spliced from 2 exons. NCBI's taxonomy places the organism in Eukaryota, Metazoa, Chordata, Actinopteri, Centrarchiformes, Centrarchidae.
UGUAUAUGUAUGUAUGUGUAUGUAUGUAUGUAUGUAUAUAUACAGUGUAUAUAUAUACCUGUUCAUAUGCUGUUGUUGGAGCGUGAAGCUCGACACAGGUCCUAGAAGAUGUGCUGCUCGGCUUGCACCUCGUCCUCUCCAUCCUGCCUCUUCUUCCUCGGACCCUGGCAGCCCUCCCUCCUCUGCUUCGCCUCGACCCCGGUCCUGUCCCGGUCUGUGCUUGGCUCUGGGGUGCAGUCCUCAUCAGAGACAAUAAUGCUGUCACCAUGGAAGCUCUAACAUGCAAAACAACGUACAUGUUAUGAGUCUAACAUGAAAUUCACGUUCCUGUAGUGUAACGUGUAACUGAUGGUAACGAGAAAAUGUGUAUCAGCCUGUUGUUAGCUUUGCCCAAUGUUAACACAGCUGUUAGCACAGCUAUCUGUUGCUAACAGUUACCUAGGCAGCUCGUUACUGAUUAAAACUCGGUCUUUUUAAACCUAUCCAAUAAUAACAUGCUAGCUUGAUGGUGAGUACUAACAGCCGGGUUAGUUUUUUAUUUUCAUAAUAAUAAAGUUAGAUAUUUUCUUACCCCUGAUGUGAGCCGCUACUCUCCGCUCGUCACACUCGUCCUCCUGCGGUGUCGGCAACGCACUUUUACGUGUUUUGGGGGCAUGGUUUUGGAAGGAGCUCAGAAGGGUGGGAGUUUCUCUGUUGAAUACUUUCAAAAUUCAGCAGUUUCUGGCUAGUUUCUCAAACUUACCUACCCUGCCUUUAAUUGCAGUUUUUAAAUUAACAUUAAAUCAAAUACGCAUGUUAUGUGAAAGUCAAAAAAACCUACACAUAACGCCCUUUGGAGUCCUUUUUUUGUUUUGUUCUUUUGUUUCCUUGUUUCCUUAUUUAAUUUUCUUUUUUGUCGUUUGUUCAUUAAUUUAAAAAAAAAAAUUCUGUAUCCUUGUCUCCCUGUUUCUGUGUUUCAGUCUUUGGUGUCCUACUUUUGUUUCUACAUUUCCCUGUUUCCUUCUCUUAUUUUCUUAAGUUAAUUUUCUUUUGUUUCCUUUAUUUCUUAUUUUGUUUUCGUGUUUCCUUGUUCCCUGGUUUAUCUAAGGUGUGCUGUGGUGGUCAUAGUAUUUAGAUCCCUCUGCCAUACUAAAUUGACAUUUUACUGAAGUAAAGCGUCUUUAGGGAAGUCUUGUGUCUUGUCUAUGUUCCAUCCGCCUUUAAACACACUGUUGUGCAGCGCCUGUUAAAAAAGGAAAAUCCCAACCCCUCUGUUCUUUCUAACUUCAGGCCCAUCUCUAAACUGUCUUCCUUAUCUAAAGUCCUGAAGAAAGUAAUUUUUACCUAGCUGCAAACAUUUUUAAUUAACCAUAAUGUUUAUGAAAAGUUUCAGUCUGGUUUUAAACCCCGUCACAGCACUGAAACUGCACUUUUAAGAGUUUUUAAUGACUUUAUUUUAACUGUUGAUUCAGGAGUCUCUGCUGUCUUAGUGCUCUUAAGGUGUGUUCACACUGAAAGCGAAUUUAAUAUUCGCCUCACUUUACUCACGCGAGUUUGACAUCUGGACAUUUUGAGUGUUCACACACAACGCGUUUCAAGCAAAUAAAUACAGCCCGCAGAUACUACUGCUAUUUGAACCCAAAGUAAACCUUGUGCUGUGAUUUUAUUGCAAACUGGUCAAACUGAUGCCAAAAUAACUACAAUAUGAUGCCGUUUUGUUAGUCAUAUGAAUUCAUGCUUUGCCAGGUCUUUUAAAAUGUUUUUUUUCUGAAUGACACACAUUUUCUGAAAUCACCAGGUAGUUCAACUUCCUCGCUUUCUUUUUCCAAGUAAUGUCCAGCUUUGUCCGUUUUUUAUAUAAAUAUGAAGUAGAAUCCAGCAGAACUCCAGUGCCAUCCAACACUAACAACAACAGUGGAACCGGAUGUGCAUGGAAGCUAGCUGCCGAGAAGUGUGAGUGAAGAUAAAUCAAAAGCUAAUUUAAUAAAAGCAGUUAACUCUGAGCUCCUCCCGUGGGUAAACGAUGUAGUUGUCAGAUCAGAAUCCAGACCAACUACGGGUGUUUAUUUCUCCGAAAGCUGCAGCACUGCUCCCCAUACACUUACCCAUUCUUUAGCAGCUCCCUGUCGGCCUGCGGAUUGUCAUUACACCGCUCGGCAGGUCUUCUCCAAACAACGCUCCGAAGCCGCUGGUGACGUUUGGAAUAUCUCAUCGCUGAUAGGCUUUCGCAACAUGGCCCAAGUUGAAAAAUUUCGAGACAAACGCCUCAUUCGCGCUGCCCGGAGCGAAUUCGCGUCUUUGCAUUGACUUUGAUUGUAAUCAAGCCGCCCAAAACACUGGAUUCGCUUUCGGUGUGAACACCGGUUUCAAUACCUAACAGAUGGGAGUUUCUCUGUCCACCUCGGUGAUUAUUCCUCUGAGACAGCCCAAUUUACCUGUGGUGUCCCUCAAGGUUCUGUCUGAGGCCAUAUCUUAUUUUCUUUAUAUAUGCUGCACCUGGCCUCCAUUUUUAGUACGAGGUCGCUUUCCACUGUUUUGCAGACGAUAUACAAAUUUAUUUGCCCCUGAAUGUAAAAACAAAGGGCUCACUGCAGCCCUGCUUGACUGCAUCAAAUCAUGGAUGCCCUGAACUUCCUCAACCUAAACAGAGACAAGACAGAGGUCAUAGUGUUUGGACAUCCUGAACUGCUUUGUGUAGGUUCUCUCGGACCUUUAACUUCAAAUAAUCGCUCAACCGUGAGGAGUCUUGGUGUUGUAUUGGACAGUGCAUUAAAAUUUCAUAAACAGAUAUCCACCACUGUUAGAUCUUGCUUCUUCCAGUUUAGAACUAUAGCCAAGGUAAAGGCCUAUCUCCCUCCUAAAUAUUUAGAGAGGGUGAUUAAUGCCUUCAUAACUUCCGGUCUUGACUAUUGUAACUCCUUAUAUGUGGGCUUGGACAAGUCAUCGCCUGCAGUUAGUCCAAAAUGCUGCUUACUGCCACCUGACAGGAAAGAAAAAGAGAGACCACAUCACACCUGUGUUGGGCUCCCUCCACUGGCUUCCUGCUCAGUACAGGAUUGAUUUUAAAAUCUUUUAACUUUUAAAUGUCUUAAUGGAUUGGCUCCACUUUACCUAAAGGAGCUUCUUUGUGUUCACACUGAGAUCUGCCAAUCUCCUCCUGCUGGAUGUACCCAGAAGCACACUUAAAACUAGAGACGAUCGAGCCUUUGGUGUAGCUGCCCCUACACCAACCCUAACCCCUAACCUGUGGAACAACCUGUCAGUCCAUAUCACAACCGCCCCAACUCGAACGUUGUAUAUCACUGUUAAAAACACAUCUCAUUUCUUUGACAUUUCCUUUGAGUUAAGUCAGUUAUUAUCCCUGGUGAUUUUAAUAUCACUAUAUAUCAUAUACUGUAUGUUCUAAUGUUUUAUUGCUGUACUUUUACUGUGUAAUUAUUGUUUUUUUAAAUGUAAUUUAAAUUUUUAAAUGUAAAGCACCUUGGUCCUGGUUGUUUUAACUGUGCUAUAUCAAUAAAAUUGAUAGAGCUAAAGAGCACUCUUGGGCCACAACAGGUCAGAGAUUAUUGUCGAAAACAGCAGAAAGGCCUCACACACCUCACCAAAGGGAACGCAGAAAUCACUCCUGGAGGAUCUGCAUGAUCAUUUUAGCAUUUAGCCAGACCCAGUAUGCACCUUGGUUGGUCACAUGUCAUCAGUGUUGGGCAAGCUACUUGGAAAAUGUAGUGAGCUAAGCUACUACCUACUCUAGAUUAAAUUAAGCUUCACUACACAGAAGCUACCCCCCCGGUGAAAUGUAGCAAGCUAAGUUACAAAAACGUGGCAAAAGUAGCUUAGUUACAUCUAAGCUACAUUUACUAAGCUACUCUACAUUUGUAGGUGGGGUUUGAGCCCAAUGACAAUAUGGCAGUGACAAUUUUAUUUAUUAAUAAGUAGUUUCAUUGAAAAACUACAUACAAGGGAAAAUGGCUGUGGUUAAUGCUGGGUCUGUGUCUAAUAAUUUUAUAACUUUUUUAUCUCCUGUGAUUUGGAUUUUUCAUUUUUAACAGAGACAUGGGCUGGUAAUGGUGAGUCAACCAUUUUUGGUGAAUUGUGUCCAGCAAACUGUUUAUUCAUUAGCACCCCUCGUUGUGUUGGCAGAGAGGACAGAGUGGCUACAGUUUUCAAGAAUUGGUUUAAAUUACAAUCAUUUUCAUUUGGGAGCUAGUCUACAUUUGAAUCACACACUGGAAAAAUAGAUUCUGUGACUAACCUUUAUUUGGAGUUUUGCUCUAUAGACUGAUUCAUUGUGACAUUGUACCAACAACAGCAGUCCUGGGUAGACAACUGGCAGAUGAUUUGAAUUGAGAAGUUUUGUCAAAUUUGUUUAUUUCUGUUAAAAACAUAACUGUAAUGUUUAAAAAUAUAUCGUAAAACACAGUGGUCCGA